GAUGAAGAACGUAGCGAAAUGCGAUAAGUAAUGUGAAUUGCAGAAUUCCGUGAAUCAUCGAAUUUUUGAACGCAUAUUGCGCCCCCUGGUAUUCCGGGGGGCAUGCCUGUCCGAGCGUCAUUGCUGCCCUCAAGCACGGCUUGUGUGUUGGGCCUCCGUCCUCCUCCCGGGGGACGGGCCCGAAAGGCAGCGGCGGCACCGCGUCCGGUCCUCGAGCGUAUGGGGCUUCGUCACCCGCUCUUGUAGGCCCGGCCGGCGCUUGCCGACACAUCAAUCUUUUUUCCAGGUUGACCUCGGAUCAGGUAGGGAUACCCGCUGAACUUAAGCAUAUCAAUAAGCGGAGGA
This 345-nucleotide unclassified non-coding RNA is filed under the name soil metagenome. RNAcentral's name for it is "partial contains 5.8S ribosomal RNA, internal transcribed spacer 2, and large subunit ribosomal RNA". The stretch from base 1 to 120 matches the Rfam family "5.8S ribosomal RNA", at positions 35 to 154 of the family's 154-position model. The record is from RNAcentral.